Long non-coding RNA from Armigeres subalbatus, 632 nucleotides. RefSeq lists it as uncharacterized. The transcript is spliced from 3 exons. The record is from RefSeq and is a predicted model, not a curated record. NCBI's taxonomy places the organism in Eukaryota, Metazoa, Arthropoda, Insecta, Diptera, Culicidae.
CUGUUUAUUUAUUCGUCAGGCUUGUUAAACAUAAUUCGCUAGGAAGUGGACAGACAUUUUCCACAAGUUUUAUUCUGUUUUAUUCAGCUGUAGACAGGUUCAUCGCAUAAAAAAUAGUACAUAUUGCUUUUACCGUUGUCUUUUCUGCUGCGUACUACAAGUUGUCUCAGAUUUCGCUGCUAUGGAGCAUGUUGAUCGGAAAAUCAUGGCCUCAAAAACUCCUGAUGCGUGCAGGUAAAAUGAAAUCCAGAAUAGGAUGCCAAAGAUCCUACGCCUACGGCCGCUCUGGUCAGUGGUUUUAUAGAAAUGUAUCCUGACAGCAUUUACUUCAAGCUGGAGACGUCCAUCGGAGGUGAUCCUUACCCGGACAUACCGGUGCAGUGACAGGAGCACCGGAUUCGAAGCGAUGCCAACAUAGAUGCGAAAGUCAACUUAAUCGGAAUCAACUUGUUUUGCUAGACGAUAUGGGUGAGCAAUCAAAGUAACUUAGCCCAGAUGAUAGAGGAAUCUCGAGAGGAAUAAUGUGCGUUCCGAAAGCGUAUCAUCGUUGGGCAGGCGGUCGCUAAUCAGGCGAUAGUGUUUUAUCCGUGAAAACAGAAUUCUUACAUGGUUCCCAAAUCUGCAAUAUUCUG